GCCAGGUACACGGAUUAUUUUAAGACCAGGAGGAGAAAAAAAAAAUAAAACUGGUAAAAGAAUGGUAAAAGAAAUAGAAUGGAAUCAACCAUCAAUGUCUUGGCAAGAUCCUCGGACUAAAAAAUGUGAAAUAAACGUCCAAAGAUUAUACAUUUACAAAGCUAGCUAAUCAAAUGCCAGACACAUUUGCUGACACGAAAAAGAAUGACUAAGUCAUAUAUAAACCAGCUUGUAAAGCACCAACGAAUUUGAUGUCCAAGAAGAGACACAGUCAAGUUGCUACAGAGUCUAGACAACAUAUGAAACGUGGUAGACCAAAUAGGUUCCAAAAGAUAAGAAUCCUUGGAAACAAAAGAAAGGUGCAGAGAAUGAUAAUCAAAAUCCAAAUCCG
Molecule: long non-coding RNA, 391 nt
Filed under: Brassica napus (rape)
Lineage: Eukaryota; Viridiplantae; Streptophyta; Magnoliopsida; Brassicales; Brassicaceae
Description: long non-coding RNA (BNAP_LNC026789)
Source: RNAcentral